This 778-nucleotide ribosomal RNA is filed under the name uncultured bacterium. RNAcentral describes it as "bacterial SSU rRNA". It matches the Rfam family "Bacterial small subunit ribosomal RNA", at positions 68 to 847 of the family's 1533-position model. The record is from RNAcentral.
CGAAAGCUUGCUUUUGAUGGGCGUCGACCGGCGCACGGGUGAGUAACGCGUAUCCAACCUGCCCACCACUUGGGGAUAACCUUGCGAAAGUAAGACUAAUACCCAAUGAUAUCUCUAGAAGACAUCUGAAAGAGAUUAAAGAUUUAUCGGUGAUGGAUGGGGAUGCGUCUGAUUAGCUUGUUGGCGGGGUAACGGCCCACCAAGGCAACGAUCAGUAGGGGUUCUGAGAGGAAGGUCCCCCACAUUGGAACUGAGACACGGUCCAAACUCCUACGGGAGGCAGCAGUGAGGAAUAUUGGUCAAUGGACGAGAGUCUGAACCAGCCAAGUAGCGUGCAGGAUGACGGCCCUAUGGGUUGUAAACUGCUUUUAUAAGGGAAUAAAGUGAGUCUCGUGAGACUUUUUGCAUGUACCUUAUGAAUAAGGACCGGCUAAUUCCGUGCCAGCAGCCGCGGUAAUACGGAAGGUCCGGGCGUUAUCCGGAUUUAUUGGGUUUAAAGGGAGCGUAGGCCGGAGAUUAAGCGUGUUGUGAAAUGUAGAUGCUCAACAUCUGCACUGCAGCGCGAACUGGUUUCCUUGAGUACGCACAAAGUGGGCGGAAUUCGUGGUGUAGCGGUGAAAUGCUUAGAUAUCACGAAGAACUCCGAUUGCGAAGGCAGCUCACUGGAGCGCAACUGACGCUGAAGCUCGAAAGUGCGGGUAUAGAACAGGAUUAGAUACCCUGGUAGUCCGCACGGUAAACGAUGGAUGCCCGCUGUUGGUCUGAAUAGGUCAGCGGC